This 746-nucleotide ribosomal RNA is filed under the name uncultured bacterium. RNAcentral's name for it is "bacterial SSU rRNA". It matches the Rfam family "Bacterial small subunit ribosomal RNA", at positions 8 to 796 of the family's 1533-position model. The record is from RNAcentral.
AGAGUUUGAUCAUGGCUCAGGAUGAAUGCUGGCGGCGUGGAUAGGGCAUGCAAGUCGAGUGGGUUUAGACCCACGGCAGACGAGAUCAGUAAUACACAGGUACGCACCCCGGAGUCGGGCAUAUUCCACCGAAAGGUGGCGCAAUUCCCGAUGGCGUGGUGACACUAAAGGAGCAAUCCGCUCCGGGAGCGGCCUGUGCAGCAUCAGCUAGUUGGUAAGGUAACGGCUUACCAAGGCUAUGACGCUUAGGGGACCUGAGAGGGUGACCCCCAUCGAUGGAACUGAGACACGGUCCAUACACCUACGGGUGGCUGCAGUCGAGAAUAUUCCACAAUGGACGAAAGUCUGAUGGAGCGACGCCGCGUGGUUGAUGAAGUCCUUCGGGACGUAAAAACCUUUUAUGAGGGAGGAAGUAAUUGACGUUACCUCAUGAAUAAGGAGCUCCUAACUCUGUGCCAGCAGGAGCGGUAAUACAGAGGCUCCAAGCAUUAUCCGGAAUCACUGGGCGUAAAGGGUGUGUAGGCGGUCGUAUUAGUCUUUCGUAAAAGCCCGCAGGCUCAACCUGUGGAAUGCGGAGGAAACGGUACGGCUUAGAGGACGCGAGAGGUAUAUGGAACUCAUGGUGUAGGGGUGAAAUCCGUUGAUAUCAUGGGGAACACCAAAUGCGAAGGCAAUAUACUGGCGCGCUCCUGACGCUGAGACACGAAAGCGUGGGCAUCGAAUGGGAUUAGAUACCCCAGUAGUCC